RNAcentral lists this ribosomal RNA (117 nucleotides) under Periophthalmus magnuspinnatus. The record is from RNAcentral. Lineage: Eukaryota; Metazoa; Chordata; Actinopteri; Gobiiformes; Gobiidae.
ACUGGUGGACAAACCGCUUUGUAAAUGUCAGAAAUGGUCUGGUCUCAGAAGCUAAGCGCGGUUGGACCUGGUUUGUACUUCGAUGGGAGACCGCUGGGACUAUCAGGUGCCAUAGUC